This 1988-nucleotide ribosomal RNA is filed under the name human oral metagenome. RNAcentral's name for it is "bacterial LSU rRNA". It matches the Rfam family "Bacterial large subunit ribosomal RNA", at positions 1 to 1977 of the family's 2925-position model. The record is from RNAcentral.
AAAAGCUAUUAAGGGCACACGGAGGAUGCCUAGGUAACAAAAGCCGAUGAAGGACGUGAUAAGCUGCGAAAAGCUUGGUGGAGGUGCACAUAACCUUUGAUACCAAGAUCUCCGAAUGGGAAAACCUAUAUGUGUAGAUCACAUAUGCGAAAGAGGUAAGUCCGUGAACUGAAACAUCUAAGUAACGGGAGGAAAAGAAAGUAAAAACGAUUCUCUAAGUAGCGGCGAGCGAACGGAGAAUAGCCUAAACCAUAUACAUGUAAGUUGGCGACGUUGUGUAUAUGGGGUAGAGGGACUUUAAUAGACUAAUAGCCAUAAAGUCAUUUUACUAGUAGAGUAAGUGGAACACAGCUGGGAAGCUGGACCAAAGAAGGUGAUAGUCCUGUAGAACAUAAAACUAUUAGUAAAACUUAAAGCACCCGAGUAGCAUCAAGCACGAGGAAUUUGGUGUGAAUCUGCGUGGACCAUAUCACGUAAGGCUAAAUACUUUUGUUGACCGAUAGAGAAGAGUACCGUGAGGGAAAGGUGAAAAGAACCCUGAGUAAGGGAGUGAAAUAGAAUUUGAAACCGUGUGCUUACAAACGGUAGGAGCUCGCAAGAGUGACUGCGUGGAUUUUGGUUAAUCAUCCUGCGAGUUAUGAUAUAUGGCAAGGUUAAAAAGAAUGGAGCCGAAGGGAAACCGAGUCUUAAUAGGGCGACAAGUCGUAUGUCAUAGACGCGAAACCUAGUGAUCUAGGCCUGUCCAGGCUGAAGCUGAGGUAAGACUCAGUGGAGGGCCGAACUCACCGCCGUUGAAAAGUUGGGAGAUGAGAUAGGUCUAGGGGUGAAAAGCCAAUCGAACUAGGAGAUAGCUCGUUCUCUCCGAAAUGCAUUUAGGUGCAGCCUUAAUUUUAAGAUAUGUGGGGGUAGAGCACUGUAUGAUCUAGGGGGCGUAUUGCUUACCGAAAUCAAGCAAACUACGAAUACCAUAUAUUAAUGAUUAGGAGUGAGUCUAUGGAUGAUAAGGUCCGUGGACAAAAGGGGAACAGCCCAGACCACCAGCUAAGGUCCCUAAUUAUGUCUAAGUGGGAAAGGAGGUGGAUAUUCACAGACAACCAGGAGGUUGGCUUAGAAGCAGCCAUACCUUAAAAGAGUGCGUAAUAGCUCACUGGUCGAGAGUAUCUGCGCCGAAGAUGUAACGGGGCUAAGACAUAAACCGAAGCUGUGGAAGAUGCUUUCGCAUCUUGGUAGGAGAGCGUUCUGUAAGCCGAUGAAGGCAGGCUGUAAGGCCUGCUGGAGGUAUCAGAAGUGAGAAUGCAGGAAUGAGUAGCGAGAAGGCGGGUGAGAAUCCCGCCGGCCGGAAGUCCAAGGUUUCCAGGGGAAGGUUUGUCCGCCCUGGGGAAGUCGGGACCUAAGCCGAGGCUAAGUAGCGCAGGCGAAUGGAAAAUAGGUUAAUAUUCCUAUACCACUUAAUUAACGUUUUUACUGAUGGAGUGACGCAGGAAGGUAUGUGAGAAGGCUGACGGUUUAGCCUUUCUAAGGAAGUAGCGUGAGCAUAUAGGUAAAUCCGUAUGCUUAAACGUGAGAACUGAUGGGUAAGCACCUCUUGGUGUAAGUCACAAAUCCUACACUGCCAAGAAAAACUUCUAAGGAGGAAAUUAAGUGCCCGUACUGUAAACCGACACAGGUGGACAGAGUGAGAAACUUAAGGCCGACAGGCUAACUCUAGCUAAGGAACUCUGCAAAAUAGCCCCGUAACUUCGGGAGAAGGGGUGCCUAUAUUACUUGAGAAGAGAAACACUUCAAGGGGAAAUAGGUCGCAGUGAAGAGUCUCAAGCAACUGUUUACCAAAAACACAGGUCUAUGCUAAGCUGAAAGGCGACGUAUAUGGGCUGACACCUGCCCAGUGCCGGAAGGUUAAGAGGAGGAUUGAGAGAUCCGAAUUGAAGCCCCGGUGAACGGCGGCCGUAACUAUAACGGUCCUAAGGUAGCGAAAUUCCUUGUCGGGU